Molecule: long non-coding RNA, 1369 nt
Organism: Oncorhynchus keta (chum salmon)
Lineage: Eukaryota; Metazoa; Chordata; Actinopteri; Salmoniformes; Salmonidae
Exons: 3
Source: RefSeq, a predicted model, not a curated record
UAGACACAGGUACCAACACACACCAUGUCCCCACUAGACACAGGUACCAACACACACCACGUCCCCACUAGACACAGGUACCAACACACACCAUGUCCCCACUAGACACAGGUACCAACACACACCACGUCCCCACUAGACACAGGUACCAACACACACCAUGUCCCCACUAGACACAGGUACCAACACACACCAUGUCCCCACUAGACACAGGUACCAACACACACCAUGUCCCCACUAGACACAGGUACCAACACACACUAUGUCCCCACUAGACACAGGUACCAACACACACCAUGUCCCCACUAGACACAGGUACCAACACACACCAUGUCCCCACUAGACACAGGUACCAACACGCACCAUGUCCCCACUAGACACAGGUACCAACACGCACCAUGUCCCCACUAGACACAGGUACCAACACACACCACGUCCCCACUAGACACAGGUACCAACACACACCAUGUCCCCACUAGACACAGGUACCAACACACACCAUGUCCCCACUAGACACAGGUACCAACACACACCAUGUCCCCACUAGACACAGGUACCAACACACACCAUGUCCCCACUAGACACAGGUACCAACACACACCAUGUCCCCACUAGACACAGGUACCAACACACACCAUGUCCCCACUAGACACAGGUACCAACACACACCAUGUCCCCACUAGACACAGGUACCAACACACACCAUGUCCCCACUAGACACAGGUACCAACACACACCAUGUCCCCACUAGACACAGGUACCAACACACACCAUGUCCCCACUAGACACAGGUACCAACACACACCAUGUCCCCACUAGACACAGGUACCAACACACACCAUGUCCCCACUAGACACAGGUACCAACACACACCAUGUCCCCACUAGACACAGGUACCAACACGCACCAUGUCCCCACUAGACACAGGUACCAACACACACCAUGUCCCCACUAGACACAGGUACCAACACACACCAUGUCCCCACUAGACACAGGUACCAACACACACCAUGUCCCCACUAGACACAGGUACCAACACACACCAUGUCCCCACUAGACACAGGUACCAACACACACAUUUAAAACAGGUAAAACUUCCCCUGUGAACCGUAAAAAAAAAAAAAGAAGAAGAAUGUGUCUGUUUCUGCAGGUCCAGUGGUGGCAAAGGACAUCAGUACGUACCACACAGUCUUCCUAUUGGCCAUACUGGGAGGCAUGGCUGUCAUCCUCCUCUGCCUGCUCUGUCUACUACUGUACUACUGCAGGUCUGUCUGGAUCAAUGGACUUCCCUGCUGACUGUCAUAAGUGUCUUGUGCGUGAGUGAAGCAGUCUUGAGUUUCAACAGGACUGUCUUCUCUUUCCUCCCCCC